Molecule: ribosomal RNA, 307 nt
Filed under: Blautia lenta
Lineage: Bacteria; Bacillati; Bacillota; Clostridia; Lachnospirales; Lachnospiraceae
Description: bacterial SSU rRNA
Rfam family: Bacterial small subunit ribosomal RNA
Source: RNAcentral
UUUAUUGAGAGUUUGAUCCUGGCUCAGGACGAACGCUGGCGGCGUGCCUAACACAUGCAAGUCGAGCGAAUGAAGUUCCUUCGGGAAUGGAUUUAGCGGCGGACGGGUGAGUAACACGUGGGCAACCUGCCUCAUAGAGGGGAAUAGCCUUCCGAAAGGGAGAUUAAUACCGCAUAAGAUUGUAGUACCGCAUGAUACAGCAAUUAAAGGAGCAAUCCGCUAUGAGAUGGGCCCGCGGCGCAUUAGCUAGUUGGUGAGGUAACGGCUCACCAAGGCGACGAUGCGUAGCCGACCUGAGAGGGUGAUC